Long non-coding RNA from Cyprinus carpio carpio, 1315 nucleotides. NCBI's taxonomy places the organism in Eukaryota, Metazoa, Chordata, Actinopteri, Cypriniformes, Cyprinidae. The record is from Ensembl.
AUGCAGUGUGACUGUGUGUGUUCCAGCAGGAGGCGCUGUAUUCCUGUAACACACUGCGAGAGGAUCGUCCAGCAGGACCACAGGUGCACCUCAGGUCUUUCCAGCUGUGAUGCGGCGGUGACUGCAGUGAUGUUUGUGUGUAUUUGGUUGAUAAAAGCAGCGUUUUGUGAUGGUUUGGUGACCUCACCCUCUGCAGACAAACACUGCGGCCGUCAAACGGACGUCUGAUCGAUGCACGGGAGAAAAGAGAGAAACAUGAUGAUGAGUGGAUCUCACGAAAACACGUCCAAGACACAGCUCACCCUGAAAUCAAAAAGAAAAAAGAACUGAAUAAGAACUUACAGUUUGUAUGAAGAACAUUCUGCCUAUUUUUAGGAAGAUUUUCAUUAUGAAAUUAUUUUCAUGACACAUUUCCCAUUUUAUAACUCAGUAGUUCUUACUACUAUAAUUGCCAGUUUUGCCUGUAUUUUUAAUUUAAAUAAGCAAAACAUUAAAGACAAGAAAGGCACAGUUCAUUUGAAAAAUAUUAACAAAUUUCACUGAAUUUUAUUUUUAUAUUUUAUUUAUUAUUAUUGUUUUAGCUGUAAUUAAAGAACAAAGAUGUAAAUAUAUUGUAAAUUACAAUAAAGUAAAAUAAUGCAUUUCAAAAUAUAUUACUACUGUAAAUUAAAUUGUAAAUAGUCCUAUAUAUAUAUAUAUAUAUAUAUAUAUAUAUAUAUAUAUAUAUAUAUAUAUAUAUAUAUAUAUAUAUUAUAAUAUUUAUUUUAUUAUUUCAUAUAUUUAAUGUCUUAAAUUCUCCUAUUUUUUUAUUUUGGUGUAAUAUUGGAGAAAUGCUGUAAACUUAGAUCUUCAGAAAUGUUGAAAAUUAUGCAAAUGAGUAAAUAAUCUUGCAAACCUAGCGCAUACUGCAUUAUAUUUAUUUGUUAUUAAUAUAUUAUUGAUUUAACUCUAAUAAAAGAGUGAAGGUAUAAAUAUAUUACUGUUGUAAAUUGCAAUCAAUAGCAAUAAAAAGAUUAUUUCAUAAAUGUAAUAGCAAUUUUAUACAAUGCAAAACAAUGUCUUAAAUUUGUCAUUCAAAUCCUCGAGCUUUUAUUUUGGUGAAAUACAGGAGAAAUGUUGUCAACUGUCUACAGACGUGUAAAUAAACCUAGCGCACAUUGUGUUAUAUUUAUAUUUUAUUAUUUAUUUUAUUGUUUUAAUUUUAUUAUUUUAUUUGUUUUGACAAAUUUUACAUUACAUUAAUUAGUAUUUUUUCAUCGUGAAAUCAAAAGUCCCUGUUAUUUCUGGUAGUUGUGUUGAUUGUGUGAGUUCUGAG